RNAcentral lists this ribosomal RNA (420 nucleotides) under Triticum aestivum (bread wheat). RNAcentral's name for it is "partial small subunit ribosomal RNA". The record is from RNAcentral. Lineage: Eukaryota; Viridiplantae; Streptophyta; Magnoliopsida; Poales; Poaceae.
AUUCUACAAUUUUUCGGCGACGCAACAGGACUUAGAUUAAACCAGGAAAAAUCUUCAGUAGCUGCAAUUAGGCGCGAAGGCAUAAACCUCUCGAAGGUACUACAAGACUUCGGGGAAAAAUUUGUAGGUUUCCCGAUGACCUACCUCGGCCUCCCAAUCUCCACGCAUAGGAUUAGAGUAGUACAUCUCCAAUUCAUCCUGGAUAGAAUUAGGGCGCGACUCACGGGCUGGAAAGGCAAGCUCAUGACCAUAGUUGGCAGGCGUGUGUUGAUUCGUAGCGUGCUCUCUGCAAUACCAACUUUUGCUCUAACGGUGCUCCGACCACCAGAGAAAUUGAUGAAGGAAAUUGACAAGACUAGAAGAAGAUUCCUCUGGGCUCCAGAAGAAGACACAUCAGGUGCAGCAUGCAAGGUGAGCUGA